RNAcentral lists this ribosomal RNA (425 nucleotides) under bacterium. Its description in RNAcentral is "partial 16S ribosomal RNA". It matches the Rfam family "Bacterial small subunit ribosomal RNA", at positions 355 to 776 of the family's 1533-position model. The record is from RNAcentral.
GGGGGAAUAUUGCACAAUGGGCGCAAGCCUGAUGCAGCGACGCCGCGUGAGGGAUGGAGGCCUUCGGGUUGUAAACCUCUUUCGCCAGUGAAGCAGGCCAUCUUCUUUGUGGGGUGGUUGACGGUAGCUGGAUAAGAAGCGCCGGCUAACUACGUGCCAGCAGCCGCGGUAAUACGUAGGGCGCGAGCGUUGUCCGGAAUUAUUGGGCGUAAAGAGCUCGUAGGCGGCUGGUCGCGUCUUUCGUGAAAUCCCCUGGCUUAACUGGGGGUUUGCGGUGGGUACGGGCCGGCUUGAGUGCGGUAGGGGAGACUGGAAUUCCUGGUGUAGCGGUGGAAUGCGCAGAUAUCAGGAGGAACACCGGUGGCGAAGGCGGGUCUCUGGGCCGUUACUGACGCUGAGGAGCGAAAGCGUGGGGAGCGAACAGG